This 72-nucleotide transfer RNA is filed under the name Leucocryptos marina. RNAcentral describes it as "tRNA-Pro". It matches the Rfam family "tRNA". From Rfam's summary of the family: Transfer RNA (tRNA) molecules are approximately 80 nucleotides in length. Their secondary structure includes four short double-helical elements and three loops (D, anti-codon, and T loops). Lineage: Eukaryota; Cryptophyceae; Kathablepharidacea; Katablepharidaceae. The record is from RNAcentral.
CCGAAUGUGGCGCAGUUGGUAGCGUGCCUGUUUUGGGUACAGGAGGCCGCAUGUUCAAAUCAUGCCAUUCGG